UACGGGGGGAGCAAGCGUUGUUCGGAUUUACUGGGCGUAACGGGCGCGUAGGCGGCCAGCACAAGUCAGUUGUGAAAUCUCCGGGCUUAACUCGGAAAGGUCAACUGAUACUGUGCGGCUAGAGUGCAGAAGGGGCAACUGGAAUUCUCGGUGUAGCGGUGAAAUGCGUAGAUAUCGAGAGGAACACCUGCGGCGAAGGCGGGUUGCUGGGCUGACACUGACGCUGAUGCGCGAAAGCCAGGGGAGCGAACGGG
RNAcentral lists this ribosomal RNA (254 nucleotides) under uncultured bacterium. Its description in RNAcentral is "partial 16S ribosomal RNA". It matches the Rfam family "Bacterial small subunit ribosomal RNA", at positions 524 to 776 of the family's 1533-position model. The record is from RNAcentral.